RNAcentral lists this ribosomal RNA (484 nucleotides) under uncultured bacterium. Its description in RNAcentral is "partial 16S ribosomal RNA". It matches the Rfam family "Bacterial small subunit ribosomal RNA", at positions 28 to 507 of the family's 1533-position model. The record is from RNAcentral.
AUUGAACGCUGGCGGCAUGCUUUACACAUGCAAGUCGAACGGCAGCGCGGGCUUCGGCCUGGCGGCGAGUGGCGAACGGGUGAGUAAUGCAUCGGAACGUGCCCAGUAGUGGGGGAUAGCCCGGCGAAAGCCGGAUUAAUACCGCAUACGACCUGAGGGUGAAAGCGGGGGACCGAAAGGCCUCGCGCUAUUGGAGCGGCCGAUGUCGGAUUAGCUAGUUGGUGGGGUAAAGGCUUACCAAGGCGACGAUCCGUAGCUGGUCUGAGAGGACGACCAGCCACACUGGGACUGAGACACGGCCCAGACUCCUACGGGAGGCAGCAGUGGGGAAUUUUGGACAAUGGGGGCAACCCUGAUCCGGCCAUGCCGCGUGCGGGAAGAAGGCCUUCGGGUUGUAAACCGCUUUUGUUCGGGAAGAAAUCCUCUGGGCUAAUACCCCGGGGGGAUGACGGUACCGGAAGAAUAAGCACCGGCUAACUACGUG